AUACUGGCAGAGGAGAUACCUUGAUCACGAGGUGGCUUCCCCAGGGAGAGGCUUAUCCAUUGCACUCCAGAUGUGCUGACCCCUGCGAUUUCCUCAAAUGUGGGAAACUCAGUGACAUAAGUUGUGGUAGUGGGGGACUGCGUUCAUGUUCUCCCCUA
This is a small nuclear RNA of Nannospalax galili (Upper Galilee mountains blind mole rat), 158 nucleotides long. Its record names the gene U1. It matches the Rfam family "U1 spliceosomal RNA". From Rfam's summary of the family: U1 is a small nuclear RNA (snRNA) component of the spliceosome (involved in pre-mRNA splicing). Lineage: Eukaryota; Metazoa; Chordata; Mammalia; Rodentia; Spalacidae. The record is from Ensembl.